Molecule: ribosomal RNA, 524 nt
Filed under: uncultured bacterium
Lineage: Bacteria
Description: bacterial SSU rRNA
Rfam family: Bacterial small subunit ribosomal RNA
Source: RNAcentral
CAAGGAAUUUUCGGCAAUGGGCGACAGCCUGACCGAGCAACAUCGCGUGGAGGACGACGGCCUUCGGGUUGUAAACUCCUUUUGUCGGGGAUGAAGAUGACAGUACCCGGCGAAUAAGCCCCGGCUAACUCCGUGCCAGCAGCCGCGGUAAGACGGAGGGGGCAAGCGUUGUCCGGACUCACUGGGCGUAAAGGGUGCGUAAGCGGUCUGGUGCGUCGGCGCUGAAAUCACGGGGCUUAACUCCGUGGCGCGUGCCGAUACGACUGGACUUGAGGCUCUGAGAGGGUGGCGGAACUCCUGGUGUAGUGGUGAAAUGCGUAGAGAUCAGGAAGAACACCCGUGGCGCAAGCGGCCACCUGGCAGAGACCUGACGCUGAGGCACGAAAGCGUGGGGAGCGAACCGGAUUAGAUACCCGGGUAGUCCACGCCGUAAACGAUGUCGACUUGGGGUAUGGCUACCGUUAAGGUGGCUGUGUCCCUAAGCUUACGCGGAAGUCGACCGCCUGGGAACUACGAGCGCAAGC